ACAGGAAAGGGGUUUUGUUCCGUUCCAGUUUGGUGCUGUAUAUGCUGACUGUACAAUUAGCCACGCAGACUGAGCCCAUUCCAGACAGUUCACUUACAAAGCUAUUCCAGCUAUUUCGAAGCUUUUCCCGUCUUAUUUCUGAGCACCAUUCUGUGAGCUCCUCCCUUUCCGAUGCCUUCGCUGCGUUGGAGGGAAAGAAAACACACGUUUAUUUAUUUGGCAUCUUUCAUGAUGUCAGGACAUUCCAGAGCGUUUGCAGCCCAAUGAAGUACCAUUGAACUGUAGCCACUUUUGCAAAUGUACAAAAUACUGUAACCAAUUUGCAUACAGCAAGACCCUGUCCACAAUGUAAUAAAAAUAAGACAAUCUG
Molecule: long non-coding RNA, 370 nt
Organism: Rhincodon typus (whale shark)
Lineage: Eukaryota; Metazoa; Chordata; Chondrichthyes; Orectolobiformes; Rhincodontidae
Exons: 2
Source: RefSeq, a predicted model, not a curated record